Molecule: ribosomal RNA, 389 nt
Filed under: uncultured bacterium
Lineage: Bacteria
Description: bacterial SSU rRNA
Rfam family: Bacterial small subunit ribosomal RNA
Source: RNAcentral
CCUAACACAUGCAAGUCGAACGGUAACAGGAAGAAGCUUGCUUCUUUGCUGACGAGUGGCGGACGGGUGAGUAAUGUCUGGGAAACUGCCUGAUGGAGGGGGAUAACUACUGGAAACGGUAGCUAAUACCGCAUAACGUCGCAAGACCAAAGAGGGGGACCUUCGGGCCUCUUGCCAUCGGAUGUGCCCAGAUGGGAUUAGCUAGUAGGUGGGGUAACGGCUCACCUAGGCGACGAUCCCUAGCUGGUCUGAGAGGAUGACCAGCCACACUGGAACUGAGACACGGUCCAGACUCCUACGGGAGGCAGCAGUGGGGAAUAUUGCACAAUGGGCGCAAGCCUGAUGCAGCCAUGCCGCGUGUAUGAAGAAGGCCUUCGGGUUGUAAAGAC